AAAAAUAUCACAUGACAAAUAAAAACAUUCGAACAUUUGAGCCACAUUUGUUUGUCUUUUUUUCUUUUCCACAUUUGUUUGUCAAAUUGUAGAAAACACAAUGAGAAAAUAUGUUUCGCAAAUUUUAGUCACCCUUAUUUAUGCAGCAUUUUUAGAUGAAUUUCAUUUAGUUCUUUAUUGUUUGUACAAAGAUCCAAGAGCAU
Molecule: long non-coding RNA, 203 nt
Filed under: Trifolium pratense (red clover)
Lineage: Eukaryota; Viridiplantae; Streptophyta; Magnoliopsida; Fabales; Fabaceae
Description: long non-coding RNA (TPRA_LNC012797)
Source: RNAcentral